This 1377-nucleotide ribosomal RNA is filed under the name Triticum aestivum (bread wheat). Its description in RNAcentral is "partial small subunit ribosomal RNA". The record is from RNAcentral. Lineage: Eukaryota; Viridiplantae; Streptophyta; Magnoliopsida; Poales; Poaceae.
AUGGUUCGAUAUUUAUUAAGUAAGUACAGGGAGACAUGUUGGCACGUGAUGGGAUCCGAUUCCGAACUGGGCUGGUGCUGGAGAUCGGACAAGCACGUAGUAAAAUGGGCCGGCCCAAGUGUCCACUGGGCUUUUCCUUCCUUCCUUCUUCUCCUGCGCAUCCCCACUCCCCAUUUCCGUUUCAACCAAACCCUAACCCUAGCCCACAUCCACUGGGACGGCGACGAGAUGGCGCUCCGCCGCCGCGGUCCGCCGUCGGCGUCGGCGCCGCCUCUGGAGGACGAGAACCUCCUCGGCGAGAUCCUCCUCCGCGUCGCCCCGCUGCCCUCCUCGCUCCUCCGCGCCUCCCUCGUCGCCAAGCAAUGGGAGCGCCUCGCCGCCGCGCCCGCCUUCCACCGCCGCUUCGUCGCCCACCACCGGCAGCCCCCCAUCCUCGGCGUCUUCGGGCAGCAAGGCCGGGAGCUGGUGUUCACCUCCCUCCUCGACGCUCCCGACCGCAUCCCGCGGGAGCGCUUCUCGCUGCGGCCCGGCGACGAGAUCGAUUUCUGGGGUCUGCUCGGGUGCCGCCAUGGACGUGUCCUCUUCAUCAGCACGUUUCGUCGUGCGCUCCUUGUGUUCGACCCCGUCAACGGCGACCGCCUGUGCGUGGCAAUUCCGCUGUAUUUGGAACGGUAUGUCUUUGGUGGAGCUGUGGUCUGCGCCGCCGGCGACGACCAGGGCCACGUGCACGGAGACUGCCAUUCGAGCCCCUUUAAGGUGGUCCUGGUAGGCACCAGAGAGAACCACCCAGCCAUAGCCUGGGUCUACUCCUCCGAGACCGGCAUGUGGAGCAAUCUUGUCUUCACCACAGAACCAUGCGACGGUCUGAUUGACGUCCAUUUCCCCUGUACCCUUGUCGACAAUGUCCUUUAUUGGUGGUUGUAUGGGCAUGACAAUGGCAUACUCGAGUUCGAUCUGCAUACCCAGACACUAGCUGUGACCGAGGGGCCUUCCCCUGUGGACAUCAACUCUAUCAACAGCCGGAUCAUCAGGGGAGAGGAUGGCGGUGUUGGCGUCGCAGUAUUUUCGUAUCUGAGCUUGAAAAUGUGGAAACGCGAGGUCAGUAGUCAGGGUAUUCACACAUGGCUGCUGCAGAAGAUUGUUGUCUUCCACAAGAUCAUUGAUCUUACACAUCAGAUCAAGGCAAGGAAGGAAGCUAUAGUGGGGUACUCAGAGGAUGCUCAUGCGCUUUUUAUAAAGGUGUCUUGCUGUUCAGGACCCCAUACCUUCAUUGUUGAACUUGAGUCAAUGCAGUCCAGGAAAAUUAAUCAAAGUUUUUUGGAGAAUUCAUAUCAUCCGUUUGCAGAUUUUUUCACUGCAGGUACUGUUCGAGCGUGA